GACGAACGCUGGCGGCGUGCUUAACACAUGCAAGUCGAACGGAAAGGCCCUGCUUUUGUGGGGUGCUCGAGUGGCGAACGGGUGAGUAACACGUGAGUAACCUGCCCUUGACUUUGGGAUAACUUCAGGAAACUGGGGCUAAUACCGGAUAGGAGCUCCUGCUGCAUGGUGGGGGUUGGAAAGUUUCGGCGGUUGGGGAUGGACUCGCGGCUUAUCAGCUUGUUGGUGGGGUAGUGGCUUACCAAGGCUUUGACGGGUAGCCGGCCUGAGAGGGUGACCGGCCACAUUGGGACUGAGAUACGGCCCAGACUCCUACGGGAGGCAGCAGUGGGGAAUAUUGCACAAUGGGCGGAAGCCUGAUGCAGCAACGCCGCGUGCGGGAAGACGGCCUUCGGGUUGUAAACCGCUUUCGCCUGUGGCGAAGCGUGAGUGACGGUAAUGGGUAAAGAAGCACCGGCUAACUACGUG
RNAcentral lists this ribosomal RNA (468 nucleotides) under uncultured bacterium. RNAcentral describes it as "partial 16S ribosomal RNA". It matches the Rfam family "Bacterial small subunit ribosomal RNA", at positions 28 to 507 of the family's 1533-position model. The record is from RNAcentral.